GAAGGUGGACGCCCGCGUUGGGCGCCUCGCUGCCAAGUUUUCCCAACCCUACCUGAGAAGGGCCGCUUCGUUUUCCACAGGCCUCGCCCCCCUGCUCACCGACUCUGUCCUAAAGCCUUUCCAGGUGUUGAUGGGCCGUGUUUUCGUCCCGCUUUAUUUCUGUAAGCGUGACUGCCUGCCGGCUAAGAGGUGCCAAGUAAUGGACAGGCCGUGCUCCAUAAUGAAUCGGACUUCAGCCGGUGCUGCAGCGAGCUCCAUAUCUGGCGUAAAAGGUCAUCGCGGAACGAUCCCCCCGAGCCACCACCGCUGCCAGGAGCAGCAGCUGUGCCCUCCCCUUGCUUGCUGCUCUUCGUGCUGGCCCUUGCCGCAGCCUCUCUUUUGAACGGGUGAAAUUGCUGGUGCUGCCACGUGGUGAGUCAGACUGCAGAACAGCGCCAAGUAAAAACUAAACCCCCCAAACCACCACCUCUCAGAAAACAAACCCAAGCCCAUCCAAGCUUGAGUUAAAAGUUGAAAAGAAAUCAGGGCUGCCCCCUUUGACAACAGGGGGGCGGUUUGUAAAAUUCUGGCCUGUUAUUGGUAUGAAGUUUAGAAUAAGGCAAUAGAAAACAGAGAUAAUUCAGUAGUGCUUGACAGCUUUUACGCUUAGGUUAAUAGCAAUUUUGUAGUCUGAUCAGAACCAGGUCACUUUAGUCUCGAGCUGGCGGCUGGAAUGUUGAAUGGAAAGCUUAUGUUCACAGCAGUUGUACGUUGUGUGUUUGACACACAAAUCAAUGCUUUUCUUUAUCUUUUGAGUUCGUGUAAGAGUCUGUAAAGAAAGAAAAGUUUGCUUCCAUCCCUUUAGAGGUGUCAGCUUCUGUUCCCUCACAGGGAUAAUUCAAUUUACAUUAUUGCAGCUCAUUCAUUUGUACCCACGCUAACUACACGGUCAAAUACCCACAUCUGAGACUUGCCGUUAUGAAAAAGAACCUGAUCAGCUCAAGGGUGGCAACUGUAAUAGAGAAAAAAAUUACUUAAAUUUGCGUUUAACAUAAUUCAAGCAAUCCCUCUUUAUACGGUAAGACUUCCUUCCUCUACAUAAAGGCUAUCGUCUCCUGUCUUCCCUUCCUACUUGUCUGGUCAUUUCCUGCCAUAGAUACCUGUUCCAAAUCAUUUAUUUAGAGUUUGAAGCUCUUCUCAGAGGGAGAGAUGGUGUCACAUUUCAGUCAGGGCCUUUGAAAAUGUUCAUCAUCUGUUGUCCUUCCUACGAAUCCAGAAGAAUAAAGGCAAAGAUUUUAUGUGCUAAUAUGUAAAAGGGCUGCAAACAACAGAAACCUGACCUUUUCGAAGGCACUGAUGUGAGGAGGAUGGGCUGAAGUAUGCCAUUUAAUUGUUUGGGGGCUUAUUUGAGUAUUAUCAUACCACACAUUUAAAUCUUACAAAGGAGACAGCUUCAUCAGGAUUUUAAUAAGAGCUACUACAGAGGAACAGAAUUCAGGGCAGAAAAAAACAUCUGUAGAUUGUCCCCAUGGGGAAGAGAAACACAUCAGUUGAUGUCUGGGAGAUGCGGGGGUUUCUGACUUUCGGAUCCUGCUCAGUUCUGGGCUGGAUCGUCCAGAGAGGGGUAAGACACUGAAGGUAUUUUGCCUCGAGACAGCAACUCCUGUUUUCAUUCCUUCUGUCUCAGGCCAAAGCAAGACUCGUGCUUUCACCUGUGGCAGCAGACCUUUCCUUCUACCCUCUUCCCCUUUAAGCACAGCUAUCACAUGUUGAAUGUAGUCACCAUUAAUAACCGCCUGUCACCAGAGUCUGUAGGGGUUGAAUUCACCUUGGCAGAAGUGGUCGCUAUCAUAUUGCAUCUACACAGAUGUUUUACAUGCACUUCAACUUGAUCACAUUUUUUAGGAGAAGAACAGCAUGUGGCAGCUGAAGUGACAGUGCUCUGUAAAAUCUUGUUAAUGUAUCGUUAUAUGAACUCGUUAUAUGAACGUUAUAUGGGCUCCACAAACUGCACCUUUUUUGAUACCACUUAUGACAAAUAUAAGUUGUCAUUGUAUUGAAAGGGGAGACAUGAGCUUAAUAGGACUCAUCUAUCUUUCCCCUACUCAAGUCAGGUUGAGAGGUGAGCGAAAGGAAUAAGGGAAGCUUGCUCAUGGUCAGUCAUUUCCAAGGCUUUGUAUAGCUUUGAAGUAAUACCUAAUAACUCUUUGCAUGUAAGGCAGAAUUCAUUGCAGGGUUAGUAAAUGGCUGUAGUCACACCCAAAAAUCAAAUUAAUAAGCAUAAAACGGGAAUAGUUGGUAGCAUCACUACAGUACCAAAAGGAUGCCAAGAAACCGGAGCAAAGUUAUAUUUCCACUAAAGUGGAAGGCAGAAUUCCGGUUUAUUUAACUGGUUUGAAAUCCUGUUUCCCUUGGUCACAGUACCACGCUUUUAGAAAGUAUUCUGACAGGACUAAUAAAUCAAAUGCAUUUAGGGAUCACAGUAUAGUAUUUAGGAGCUUGAACUUGUAUUUUAUAAAUAUAAAUAAAAGGGAAAAAUGAGUAAACCAAACAGUAUUUAUGAGAGCAAAACCCACACGCAUUACAUAGAUGGUGUAGUAGGGUAUUAGGUAUGAAUUAUAAUGUAGUUUCUUCUGGAUUAAAACGCGUAGAAUAUGAAAAAGUAAAUGCCUUCUGAAAGUGCAAAUUGAACUUCAGUUUCAAAUGUUACAACCAUAGUGUUGAGGUAUAUAAUUUGAAUUGACUGUAUGGGAAAAUAUGCAAAUGUUAUUAUUCAAAAUUAUGUAGAAGAAAACUUAGGAGUUAAGUAAAAAACUAAAAAAAUCAAUACAAUUUAUUUUUAUAGCCAGUAGGAGCAGAAGAGCCUCUUACUCUCGGGACACCUGGAUUCAAUUCUUAGAGGAUCACAAAGGACAAUUGUGUAAUUUGGUCACUUAGUGUAGAUUCAACUAAGGAGACUUAAGUCUUUCUUAAUGAUGUUUUCAAAAGUGUGAAGAGACAUUAACUGGAGAAGCGUAAAUAUAUCCUGCCAAAAUAGAAUAAGGAAGCCUUAGCGGAAAGUAGAAUUGGUUGCUCUGUGCUUUAGUCAGUGCUUUACUUGCCUCGUUGGGAUAUUGCAAGCAUGUUUUCCCUGAUGUUUGGAAAACUGAUGAUGGCUGGGGAGAGAGACUAUAUGCUAAAAGAAGUUCCCAGCUGGCAUGAGUUGUCAUGAGUGAGAGGCACUCAAGAGUUGCCUAAUCUGCCCCUGUAUGCAUGGAAUCAGCUAUGCAGAACAGGGUUGAAGAGAGUUAUAACCUACAAUUAAAAAGCAAAACCUGAAAUGAGUGACAGUCGUGUAUGAAUACUGAACCUGACCUUACAAACAACGUCUGCCGAAGGGUGCUUUCACCAUUACAGGCCCCUGGAUGAUGGAAUUGUGCUGGAAUGCAAACAUUUCCUACAAUUUCCUCUGGCAGGCUCUGCUUUGAAGUUCUGAUCCUGCAACUGUGGCGGGAGAUGGAA
This is a non-coding RNA of Struthio camelus australis, 3480 nucleotides long. Lineage: Eukaryota; Metazoa; Chordata; Aves; Struthioniformes; Struthionidae. The record is from RefSeq and is a predicted model, not a curated record.